RNAcentral lists this ribosomal RNA (680 nucleotides) under uncultured bacterium. Its description in RNAcentral is "bacterial SSU rRNA". It matches the Rfam family "Bacterial small subunit ribosomal RNA", at positions 54 to 719 of the family's 1533-position model. The record is from RNAcentral.
CAUGCAAGUCGACGGAUUUUGGAGCUUGCUCCAAAGUUAGUGGCGAACGGGUGAGUAACAUAUCGGAACAUGUCCGGAAGUGGGGGAUAACGUAGCGAAAGUUACGCUAAUACCGCAUAUGCCCUGAGGGGGAAAGGGGGGGAUCGCAAGACCUCUCGCUUUCGGAGUGGCCGAUAUCGGAUUACCUAGUAGGUGAGGUAAAGGCCCACCUAGGCGACGAUCCGUAGCUGGUCUGAGAGGACGACCAGCCACACUGGAACUGAGACACGGUCCAGACUCCUACGGGAGGCAGCAGUGGGGAAUUUUGGACAAUGGGCGCAAGCCUGAUCCACCCAUACCGCGUGAGUGAAGAAGGCCUUCGGGUCGUAAAGCUCUUUCAGCCGGAAAGAAAAUCGCACUUCUUAAUACGAAAUGUGGAUGACGGUACCGGGAAGAAGAAGCACCGGCUAACUACGUGCCAGCAGCCGCGGUAAUACGUAGGGUGCGAGCGUUAUCGGAAUUACUGGGGCGUAAAGCGUGCGCAGGGCGGGCUUUUUAAGCCAAAUGUGAAAAUCCCCCGGGCUUAACCUGGGGAACUGCAUUUGGGAACUGGAAAGGCUAAAGUGUACCAGAGGGGGGGUAAAAUUUCCCCGGUGUAGCAGUGAAAUGCGUAAAAUAUGUGGAGGAAUACCGAUGGCGAA